Molecule: ribosomal RNA, 388 nt
Filed under: uncultured eukaryote
Lineage: Eukaryota
Description: partial 18S ribosomal RNA
Rfam family: Eukaryotic small subunit ribosomal RNA
Source: RNAcentral
CAAUAGCGUAUAUUAAAGUUGUUGCAGUUAAAAAGCUCGUAGUUGGAUUUCUGAUCGAGACAUCAGGUCGGGUCCGAGAGGAUCAUGUACUUUGAUUUUGUUUUGAUCAUCCUUGGGGAGAGCAUUUCUGGCAUUCAGUUGUCGGGAUUGGGAUCCUCAUCGUUUACUGUGAAAAAAUUAGAGUGUUCAAAGCAGGCCUCGGCCUCUGAAUACAUUAGCAUGGAAUAAUAAGAUAGGACUUUGGUGGUCUAUUUUGUUGGUUUGCACGCCAAAGUAAUGAUUAAUAGGGAUAGUUGGGGGUAUUCGUAUUCAAUUGUCAGAGGUGAAAUUCUUGGAUUUAUGGAAGACGAACUACUGCGAAAGCAUUUAUCAAGGAUGUUUUCAUUAA